RNAcentral lists this long non-coding RNA (1043 nucleotides) under Junco hyemalis (dark-eyed junco). RNAcentral's name for it is "lncRNA (ENSJHYG00000010915.1)". The record is from RNAcentral. Lineage: Eukaryota; Metazoa; Chordata; Aves; Passeriformes; Passerellidae.
CCCAGUUCCCACCGGGCCUCAUCGCGCCGCUCUCUCCACGCGUGGCCCGCGCGCCUCUGCCGGAACCGGAAAUGACGCCACAAUCAGCUUCCCCUCCCCAUGCCUCGCGCAUGCGCAUCCCUGCUCCAGACGCUCUGACCCCGCCCACUUUCUGGCGGAAGUGCCCUCAGAGCGCCUCAGGGAGGACCCUGAGGGGAUUUUGAGUGACGUCAUUUCCGGCGACUCUCCGUCGCUUCCGUCGCGUCUCGUUGGUUCCGGCGAGCGGAGAGCGGGGCUGAAAGUGACUUUGAGAGCUGGGACGUACUGGGAGAACUGGGAUGGACUGGGAGGGACUGGGAGGGACUGGGAGCGCUGGGGGGGGUACUGGGAUAAACUGGGAUGGACUGGGAUGGACUGGGAUGGACUGGGAUGGACUGGGAUGGACUGGGGGGGGUGCGAGGGUCGUGAGGGGAGCGCUGAGGGCGGUGAGGGCCGGACUGGGAUGAACUGGGAUGGACUGGGAGGGCUCUGAGGGGAACUGGGAGGGGUCUGGGGGGUUACUGGGAUGAACUGGGAGGGACUGGGAUGAACUGGGAUGGACUGGGAGGGGUCUGAGGGGAACUGGGAGGGUUACUGGUUUGAACUGGGAGCACUGGGAGGGGCUACUGGUUUGAACUGGGAAGGACUGGGAUAAACUGGGAGGGGUCUGGGAGCAACUGGGAUGAACUGGGAUGGGAUUGGGGGUUACUGGUUUGAACUGGUUUGAACUGGUUUGAACUGGUUUGGAUCUUGGGCGUUACUGGUUUGAACUGGGAGCACUGGUUCUCUUCUAUUCCAUUAUUAAUUAUUAUCGGAUGUGAUUAAUUAGCAAUUAAUGAGUUAAUUACCUGGAUAGGUCGGUAGUUAAUGAGCUGCUAAUUUGCAUAAUUAGUGACGUUUUAAUCUCUUUUCCUUCUUUUAUUUAUCAUAGUGGGUCAGAAUUAAUUAAUAGUUAAUGAGCUAAUUAAUAUCCAGAUUGGCAACAGCCUAGGUUGUAAUUAGUUAUUCAGCUAAUUAAUGAGCUG